This 606-nucleotide long non-coding RNA is filed under the name Monodelphis domestica (gray short-tailed opossum). Its description in RNAcentral is "lncRNA (ENSMODG00000049876.1)". The record is from RNAcentral. Lineage: Eukaryota; Metazoa; Chordata; Mammalia; Didelphimorphia; Didelphidae.
GCUUCUCUCUGUCUUUCUGUCUCUGUCUUUCUGUCUCUCUGUCUUCCCAUCUCUGCACCAUUUCUCCUGGCUGUGGGUCAAAGUCAGGUAAAAGGAUUCCAAACCCCUUUUCAACCAGAAGCCUCUGUGUAAAAGUUCUCCAAGUCUUCCCUCCAGAUCUUUAGGUUUAUCAUUGACAUUCAAAUGGAGUACAGUGGAUGACAUUAUACUGAUUGCUUCAAGGCUAAGAGUGCUGCAGAGCCUCCUAAAUGAAGUCCAUCACCAUUCAAAAGUAUUUUGGCCUAACUGUCCACAUGGGAAAAACAAAAUGUAUGAAAAAUACCUAUUUUUCAGACUAUGAUGUUUAGGAGGUUUCAGUUGCUUCAGAGUUAUAGUGCCCUACUCAUGUUGAAGACCUGCCAAGGGGGAAAGAACCUGAGGUUUCUACAGAAUCCAGAUGACUUCCCUUCUGGGAGUCAAGACUAUUCACAAGAAAUAGAGAAAGAACAAUAUAAGAAAAUGUAUGAUCAAAUGCUCAUUUGUGUGAUAUGGACUCUAUCCAGUGAAAACUCCCGGAAGAAAGGGGCCGUUCUUUUUAAUUCCCUUCGGAUGAUAUCUAAUAGGAAA